AAGUGUUACUUUAACAUUUUCUGAUUGAAAUGUUUUUUAUGGUUGGAGUUAUUUCACUGUUCAUCAUGUCAGAGUUAGACCAACUCUGCAGAGACGUGAUUAAGCUCCGCCCCUGUAUUUCACCGCUUCGGUUGGAGACGAGUCCACGAUAAAUCAGCUCGAUUUUCUCUCCUCAUGCAGUUGACAGGGGCGGCUUAACAUCAGCGAGACCCCAACAAAACGUGUCUCAACAGGCAUACAGUGGCUCACUUGUUGAACUUGUCUAGUUGUCCUAAAAAUGUUGGUCCAGGUGAAGUACAGACAACAGCAGAAGUAUGUGAAAUUGGAUGCAGUUGAAGGACAGUUUGACUUUCUACAAUUCAAUGAAAAAGGUGGAUCAAGACUUCACCCUCUAUUUGAUCAUGAAACAUCCUCCAGGCUCCUUCAGAAAUGGGAUGUGUUCUUCAGUCCAAAUGUCAUAAGAGGCUAAGUGGCUUACUUCAACACCCAGGGCUGCGUCGCUUGUUGCAGAGAGUCCCACAGGAAGUGAUCUUGAUGAGACAACAAUCAUGCUGCAGUUUGGAGGAGCAUCUCCGCAAUCGCUAUUGGGCGUCAGAAGAGCAAGCUUGACAGCUUCUACAUCACCAUGGAUAAGCAUCUCAUCCCACGGCAGGCAAACCUUGGGGCUUUCGACAAACUUUCCAAAACACAUUUUGUAUUUAAUUUGUCGUACGAUGCUGCGUUACUGAAUUUUUACACAUUCUUGCAGACAACAGUGUAUAACAUUGAUGUGGGGAAAAUGAAGGAGUCACCCAGAGUCAGAGACUUGAGAGCCAGACUGCUUGACCAGCUAGUACCGGUCUCACUCUCUGAGAAAGAGGCUAAAACAAUACUGACUGGUUUCAUGUGUCAGAAUUUGUAUCCCAGCAGCCAGAAGUUGAUGGUGUUAUACUGGAACCGUUGAUACAUGAUAUAAAAUUACUGAAAACCCAAGGCCUUAGUCUUAGUAGUCUUAGUAGUGUUUGAUUAAGAGGAAUUCUCAAACGGUAUACAGUGAGGAAGAUCCCAAACUGAUCCUUCGUGGAAAAUAUGUUUGAUAUGCAUUACAAGUGUCUCCAAGACAACCCACAAUUGAUCAAUUUAUUUUUAGAAUGAAAGAAACGUCCCACAAAGAUAAUUUUUGACAGUAAUGACAAUUUCAUUGGUUUGAAUUCUAUUCAGACAUUGUGUCUUGUGAAAAACAUCCCACUGUUUGGUGACAUCAUUCCUGCAGGAAACGAAAACUGGAAUGUGUUACUGUUGUUACUUAAAAUAAUGAACAGGGUUGUGUUACUUUUUCUCAGUCUAGGUACGACAAUAUAUUUAAAGCAUUUGAUUGUUGACCACCACAAACUAUUUAAGCAUUUGUAUCCACAUAGAAACUUGCUACUUAAGCAUCAUUUUAUGACCCACUGUAUAUGUGGUCUAUGAGGUGUGAAGCCAAAGACAAGAUGUUUAAAGAUUAUUUCAAAAACAUAACAAAAUCACUUGCUAAAAAGCAUCAGAUGGUUAUUGCUUAUCACUGGGAAACCUUCACCCUCAAAUAAAGAGUGUGGACCAAUUAAGACUUAUUCCCUCAGAGAUGUGAAUGUGGUCAACAAUGAAAUGCUUGAAAUGAUUUUGUCAAAAGAUGUUUUCUCAACUAGUGGUUAAAGUUGAUGGUGUGUAGAAUACACAUGUGGACUUGUUUGUCUUUUGUCAAAUAUGUGAUAUACUUUUGGUUGAAGGUAACACAUUUUGUUUAUUAACAAGCUAUUCACCGAGAGUUCUUUUGAUGACCAUCAUCGUGCAUUUCGAGUGUUACAAAGUGAGGAAAGGUUCAUAAUAAAAAUGUCUGAGCUUAAAUUCCAUAAGCCAUUUGAUAUUCAAAGCUCAUACAAUGUUUCAGAUGAAAGUUUGUACAUUAUACCAUGAAAAUGGCUUUGUUUAUUGGAAUCAAUGAAUAUAUUAUUUAAUAACAU
This is a long non-coding RNA of Cottoperca gobio, 1979 nucleotides long. RefSeq lists it as uncharacterized. NCBI's taxonomy places the organism in Eukaryota, Metazoa, Chordata, Actinopteri, Perciformes, Bovichtidae. The transcript has 5 exons. The record is from RefSeq and is a predicted model, not a curated record.